AGAGUUUGAUCCUGGCUCAGGAUGAACGCUGGCGGCGUGCCUAACACAUGCAAGUCGAACGGUUAAGCCGGCUUCGGCCGGGUAUACAGUGGCGAACGGGUGAGUAACACGUGACCAACCUGCCCCCUCCACCGGGACAACCUCGGGAAACCGAGGCUAAUACCGGAUGCACCCCGGGCCCCGCAUGGGGCCGGGGGGAAAGCCCAGGCGGGAGGGGAUGGGGUCGCGGCCCAUCAGGUUGACGGCGGGGUAGCGGCCCACCGUGCCGACGACGGGUAGCCGGCCUGAGAGGGCGAUCGGCCACAUUGGGACUGAGAUACGGCCCAGACUCCUACGGGAGGCAGCAGUGGGGAAUUUUGCGCAAUGGGGGAAACCCUGACGCAGCAACGCCGCGUGCGGGAAGACGGCCCUCGGGUUGUAAACCGCUUUCAGCAGGGAAGAAAUUCGACGGUACCUGCAGAAGAAGCCCCGGCUAACUACGUGCCAGCAGCCGCGGUAACACGUAGGGGGCGAGCGUUAUCCGGAUUCAUUGGGCGUAAAGCGCGCGCAGGCGGCGGGUCAAGCGGGGCCUCUAAGGCCGGGGCUCAACCCCGGUUCGGGCCCCGAACUGGCCCGCUCGGGUGCGGUAGGGGCAGGUGGAAUUCCCGGUGUAGCGGUGGAAUGCGCAGAUAUCGGGAGGAACACCGAUGGCGAAGGCAGCCUGCUGGGCCGUCACCGACGCUGAGGCGCGAGAGCCGGGGGAGCGAACAGGAUUAGAUACCCUGGUAGUCCCGGCCGUAAACGAUGGGCGCUAGGUGU
This 798-nucleotide ribosomal RNA is filed under the name human gut metagenome. Its description in RNAcentral is "bacterial SSU rRNA". It matches the Rfam family "Bacterial small subunit ribosomal RNA", at positions 8 to 823 of the family's 1533-position model. The record is from RNAcentral.